This 256-nucleotide ribosomal RNA is filed under the name uncultured bacterium. RNAcentral's name for it is "partial 16S ribosomal RNA". It matches the Rfam family "Bacterial small subunit ribosomal RNA", at positions 524 to 776 of the family's 1533-position model. The record is from RNAcentral.
UACAGAGGGUGCGAGCGUUGUUCGGAAUUACUGGGCGUAAAGCGCGCGCAGGCGGCUUUCUAAGUCCGUUUGGUGAAAGACCGGGGCUCAACCCCGUGUCAGCCAGGGAUACUGGGAGGCUGGAGACAGGUAGAGGCAAGCGGAAUUCCGGGUGUAGCGGUGGAAUGCGUAGAGAUCCGGAGGAACACCGAUGGCGAAGGCAGCUCUCUGGCCUCUUUACUGACGCUGAGGCGCGAAAGCGUGGGGAGCGAACGGG